Molecule: non-coding RNA, 226 nt
Organism: Pelobates cultripes (western spadefoot toad)
Lineage: Eukaryota; Metazoa; Chordata; Amphibia; Anura; Pelobatidae
Source: the annotation of a GenBank genome assembly
AUAAAACAGAAUCAGGCUAGCAAGUACCUCAAGCAUACAGAGUUCAUAUAAAAAGGGCCAAAAAGAUAUGAGGCCACACCUUUCAGGCUGUUUGAAAACAAAGUGCAAGUUUCGUUUUUCUAACCUACUCUAAGCAGAGAGCAUUAGUGGAACUUUUAUGUGUGUUUUUUAUGAUUUGUUUCCGAACAAUGUUCCUCCUCCAGUGAAAUACUUACAGCACAAUAGG